GGGGAAAGGACUUGCAGGUAUAAAAAGAGUUAAUUGUAGAGAGCAAAAGGAGAUAAUUGCUUGCAGGGGCUGUAUCCACACAGCUGAGUCUUGUCUUCUAUUAGCAAGGAAUGCAGAAGUCACAUAUUUUUUUACAGGCAGAAAGAGUUUGCAAAGACUUGUGAGGGCUUUCUUUUCUGUUGGGUCUAUGGAUGGAAUUCUGUUAUAUGGAGAGAGCAUAGAGAAGGAGUGCAUCAGGUGUGAGAUAUUUCAUCCGGAAACCAAACGUAAGACAGAGAUUGUUGUUUGCAUUCUGACAAGAAAAACACAAGGGCACCGCAAAACUCAAAGGAGCUUCAAAGAGCACAGGGUCAUCUGGGACAAGAAAUUUCAGCAACAAAUUCAGCAUGACUAGCCAGAUGGCUGAAGAUCAAGUGUGAAGCACGGGAAUGACUGAAAUACUGGCUCACACAGAGAGUUUUAGUGACCAGUCACCACCACACGUUUAAAAGGUUGUCCUACUCCAAGUACUGCCAGCACCAUCAGCAGUGGUGGCAAGAUGGUACUGGUGGAGAAGUGCAGUCAGAGCUCAAACAUUACCUAGAUUUUUCAAACUUAUGCAUCUUUUUUGGCCUGAAAAUUGUCAUUUCAGGUCUGAAAACUGCCAAGAUUUUCACUCGUGAUUGAAAAGUGAAGUUGGCAACUGUUCUCUUUG
RNAcentral lists this long non-coding RNA (694 nucleotides) under Phasianus colchicus (ring-necked pheasant). Its description in RNAcentral is "lncRNA (ENSPCLG00000001450.1)". The record is from RNAcentral. Lineage: Eukaryota; Metazoa; Chordata; Aves; Galliformes; Phasianidae.